This 446-nucleotide ribosomal RNA is filed under the name uncultured bacterium. RNAcentral's name for it is "bacterial SSU rRNA". It matches the Rfam family "Bacterial small subunit ribosomal RNA", at positions 329 to 792 of the family's 1533-position model. The record is from RNAcentral.
UGCCAGACUCCUACGGGAGGCAGCAGUGGGGAAUAUUGCACAAUGGGGGAAACCCUGAUGCGGCGACGCCGCGUGAGUGAAGAAGUAUUUCGGUAUGUAAAGCUCUAUCAGCAGGGAAGAAAAUGACGGUACCUGACUAAGAAGCCCCGGCUAACUACGUGCCAGCAGCCGCGGUAAUACGUAGGGGGCAAGCGUUAUCCGGAUUUACUGGGUGUAAAGGGAGCGUAGACGGCGGAACAAGUCAGAAGUGAAAACCCGGGGCUCAACCCUGGGAGUGCUUUUGAAACUGUUUGGCUGGAGUGCAGGAGAGGUAAGCGGAAUUCCUAGUGUAGCGGUGAAAUGCGUAGAUAUUAGGAGGAACACCAGUGGCGAAGGCGGCUUACUGGACUGUAACUGACGUUGAGGCUCGAAAGCGUGGGGAGCAAACAGGAUUAGAUACCCCAGUA